UGGUUAGUGUAUUGCUAUAAAUUUGUUUCAUUGACUUGUUUCAAAAUGAAGUGAGAUUCUGACUAUGUUUUUUUCUGUGUGUUGAAUAAAUUUUAUCAUGUUUUGGUUAUAAUAGUGGAUUGCUAUAUUUUGGUUCCUAUAUUUUAUUGUUUCGUUGUUUCAGAUCAAAGGGACCAAGCUGUUAAAAACAAUUAUCUUUUGUGUUUUUCC
RNAcentral lists this long non-coding RNA (210 nucleotides) under Mytilus galloprovincialis (Mediterranean mussel). Lineage: Eukaryota; Metazoa; Mollusca; Bivalvia; Mytilida; Mytilidae. The record is from RNAcentral.